RNAcentral lists this ribosomal RNA (1160 nucleotides) under Pediococcus pentosaceus. RNAcentral's name for it is "bacterial SSU rRNA". It matches the Rfam family "Bacterial small subunit ribosomal RNA", at positions 56 to 1177 of the family's 1533-position model. Lineage: Bacteria; Bacillati; Bacillota; Bacilli; Lactobacillales; Lactobacillaceae. The record is from RNAcentral.
UGCUAGUCGCACCAACUUCCGUUAAUUGAUUAUGACGUACUUGUACUGAUUGAGAUUUUAAACGAAGUGAGUGGCGAACGGGUGAGUAACACGUGGGUAACCUGCCCAGAAGUAGGGGAUAACACCUGGAAACAGAUGCUAAUACCGUAUAACAGAGAAAACCGCAUGGUUUUCUUUUAAAAGAUGGCUCUGCUAUCACUUCUGGAUGGACCCGCGGCGUAUUAGCUAGUUGGUGAGGUAAAGGCUCACCAAGGCAGUGAUACGUAGCCGACCUGAGAGGGUAAUCGGCCACAUUGGGACUGAGACACGGCCCAGACUCCUACGGGAGGCAGCAGUAGGGAAUCUUCCACAAUGGACGCAAGUCUGAUGGAGCAACGCCGCGUGAGUGAAGAAGGGUUUCGGCUCGUAAAGCUCUGUUGUUAAAGAAGAACGUGGGUAAGAGUAACUGUUUACCCAGUGACGGUAUUUAACCAGAAAGCCACGGCUAACUACGUGCCAGCAGCCGCGGUAAUACGUAGGUGGCAAGCGUUAUCCGGAUUUAUUGGGCGUAAAGCGAGCGCAGGCGGUCUUUUAAGUCUAAUGUGAAAGCCUUCGGCUCAACCGAAGAAGUGCAUUGGAAACUGGGAGACUUGAGUGCAGAAGAGGACAGUGGAACUCCAUGUGUAGCGGUGAAAUGCGUAGAUAUAUGGAAGAACACCAGUGGCGAAGGCGGCUGUCUGGUCUGCAACUGACGCUGAGGCUCGAAAGCAUGGGUAGCGAACAGGAUUAGAUACCCUGGUAGUCCAUGCCGUAAACGAUGAUUACUAAGUGUUGGAGGGUUUCCGCCCUUCAGUGCUGCAGCUAACGCAUUAAGUAAUCCGCCUGGGGAGUACGACCGCAAGGUUGAAACUCAAAAGAAUUGACGGGGGCCCGCACAAGCGGUGGAGCAUGUGGUUUAAUUCGAAGCUACGCGAAGAACCUUACCAGGUCUUGACAUCUUCUGACAGUCUAAGAGAUUAGAGGUUCCCUUCGGGGACAGAAUGACAGGUGGUGCAUGGUUGUCGUCAGCUCGUGUCGUGAGAUGUUGGGUUAAGUCCCGCAACGAGCGCACCCUUAUUACUAGUUGCCAGCAUUAAGUUGGGCAUCUAGUGAAAUGCCGGGACAAACCCGAAGAAAGUGGG